This 826-nucleotide ribosomal RNA is filed under the name Staphylococcus aureus. Its description in RNAcentral is "partial 23S ribosomal RNA". It matches the Rfam family "Bacterial large subunit ribosomal RNA", at positions 1029 to 1856 of the family's 2925-position model. Lineage: Bacteria; Bacillati; Bacillota; Bacilli; Caryophanales; Staphylococcaceae. The record is from RNAcentral.
AGACCACCAGCUAAGGUCCCAAAAUAUAUGUUAAGUGGAAAAGGAUGUGGCGUUGCCCAGACAACUAGGAUGUUGGCUUAGAAGCAGCCAUCAUUUAAAGAGUGCGUAAUAGCUCACUAGUCGAGUGACACUGCGCCGAAAAUGUACCGGGGCUAAACAUAUUACCGAAGCUGUGGAUUGUCCUUUGGACAAUGGUAGGAGAGCGUUCUAAGGGCGUUGAAGCAUGAUCGUAAGGACAUGUGGAGCGCUUAGAAGUGAGAAUGCCGGUGUGAGUAGCGAAAGACGGGUGAGAAUCCCGUCCACCGAUUGACUAAGGUUUCCAGAGGAAGGCUCGUCCGCUCUGGGUUAGUCGGGUCCUAAGCUGAGGCCGACAGGCGUAGGCGAUGGAUAACAGGUUGAUAUUCCUGUACCACCUAUAAUCGUUUUAAUCGAUGGGGGGACGCAGUAGGAUAGGCGAAGCGUGCGAUUGGAUUGCACGUCUAAGCAGUAAGGCUGAGUAUUAGGCAAAUCCGGUACUCGUUAAGGCUGAGCUGUGAUGGGGAGAAGACAUUGUGUCUUCGAGUCGUUGAUUUCACACUGCCGAGAAAAGCCUCUAGAUAGAAAAUAGGUGCCCGUACCGCAAACCGACACAGGUAGUCAAGAUGAGAAUUCUAAGGUGAGCGAGCGAACUCUCGUUAAGGAACUCGGCAAAAUGACCCCGUAACUUCGGGAGAAGGGGUGCUCUUUAGGGUUAACGCCCAGAAGAGCCGCAGUGAAUAGGCCCAAGCGACUGUUUAUCAAAAACACAGGUCUCUGCUAAACCGUAAGGUGAUGUAUAGGGGCUGAC